AGAGUUUGAUCAUGGCUCAGGAUGAACGCUAGCUACAGGCUUAACACAUGCAAGUCGAGGGGCAGCAUUGGGGUAGCAAUACUCAGAUGGCGACCGGCGCACGGGUGAGUAACACGUAUCCAACCUGCCGCUUACUCGGGGAUAGCCUUUCGAAAGAAAGAUUAAUACCCGAUGGUAUAAAGAGUUCGCAUGUUCUCUUUAUUAAAGAAUUUCGGUAAGCGAUGGGGAUGCGUUCCAUUAGAUAGUUGGCGGGGUAACGGCCCACCAAGUCUACGAUGGAUAGGGGUUCUGAGAGGAAGGUCCCCCACAUUGGAACUGAGACACGGUCCAAACUCCUACGGGAGGCAGCAGUGAGGAAUAUUGGUCAAUGGACGAGAGUCUGAACCAGCCAAAGUAGCGUGAAGGAUGACUGCCCUAUGGGUUGUAAACUUCUUUUAUAAGGGAAUAAAGUGAGGGACGUGUCCCUUUUUGUAUGUACCUUAUGAACAAGGAUCGGCUAACUCCGUGCCAGCCGCGGC
RNAcentral lists this ribosomal RNA (518 nucleotides) under uncultured bacterium. RNAcentral's name for it is "bacterial SSU rRNA". It matches the Rfam family "Bacterial small subunit ribosomal RNA", at positions 8 to 518 of the family's 1533-position model. The record is from RNAcentral.